UACGUAGGGUGCAAGCGUUAUCCGGAAUUAUUGGGCGUAAAGAGCUCGUAGGCGGUUUGUCGCGUCUGCUGUGAAAACCCGAGGCUCAACCUCGGGCCUGCAGUGGGUACGGGCAGACUAGAGUGCGGUAGGGGUGACUGGAAUUCCUGGUGUAGCGGUGGAAUGCGCAGAUAUCAGGAGGAACACCGAUGGCGAAGGCAGGUCACUGGGCCGCAACUGACGCUGAGGAGCGAAAGCAUGGGGAGCGAACAGG
RNAcentral lists this ribosomal RNA (253 nucleotides) under uncultured bacterium. RNAcentral's name for it is "partial 16S ribosomal RNA". It matches the Rfam family "Bacterial small subunit ribosomal RNA", at positions 524 to 776 of the family's 1533-position model. The record is from RNAcentral.